UCUGACACUCCUCUAGAUGGACAUACUGGCUUGCUCCUUUCUGUGGAAUAUCCACUGCUGUCCCUGUAAAGUCAGUGUACUGCUUUGGCUGUUCCAGGACUUCAUUAUCUGUAGAUACUGUUUGGGUAUGGAAACUUUGCUGCGGCUGCAGGAAAAGACUACUAUUUAAGCAUCUUGAUCACCACAUUAUGUAAGUGGGACCAUGCACAUCCAGAAAUGUGUGACCUCCCAGCAGCAUAUGGAAGGGUUCCACUGCUCAGAAGAACGGGACGGGCUGGUGCAGAACAGAGCUCUUGGCUUCGGUGCUCAGCCUGGCUAGCCAUGAGGUGCAAGUCUGCGACGGGAGCACAGAAUUAGCAUCUUCAUUUGCCAGCACCACCCAUUCCAGUUGUUCUGAACUGAGAAAGAUCAUGAAGAAGAAAAAAUUCCUUUAGCUUCCUGUUUCUACUACUCUAAUGGUUUAAUCACACACAUUUGGAAAUACUUUCCCUGCCUGGAGUUGAUUCAGUGUGCUGGACUACUCCCGCAAGGGCUAACACAACAUAAGGAGAGCAGUGUUGGACAAUGGAACCAGAACAAUUGCUUUUGUGGGAGUUUGGCUCAUUGCAGGGGCAAUCUACGACGGAUGCUUUACGCUACUGGCAGACUUCGGAUAUUUUGCAAAGGCUGUGUUUUCAUAGCCCCACUUCUUUUUGAGGUUAUCUCACCAAAAAGGCUCUGCUACUGUUUUAGCCCUUUGUCUUUCUGUAGACCGCUGCUUUCCAAAUGGGUCCAGAGACCAUGUAAGAAGGCCCACGAGCAAUGGCCUGAAAUGCCCUAAGGAGCCAUGCAGGAUCGUUCUGGCCUGAGAGCUGAAUGCUCAGUGUGUACGAAAUGCUCAGGGAUGAAAGCGGUUCACUGGUCCUCGAAUCUCCAGGGAUGCCUGGGAGAGUCCUUGGGCAGCACCAGCAGGACUGAGCCCAGCUGUGCUGAAGAGAGAGUAGAAGAGUCUCUGCCCUACGUAGCUGCUCCCUAAAAAAGAGCAUGUUUGAUCUGCUGUGAUAAAGCUGUGCAUUUUCUCUCUCAAGUGAAAAUAAGGGGAUCUCUCUUUUAUCCCUUUCUACUUUCAGCAAUGCUUCCAUUGAGUGUGGACAAUUCAUCACCAAGUGCUGUGCCAGCUCCUCAUAAAGCACAAGCCAAUGAAAGCUUUGCUGAAUAUAGAAAACAUCCGAGCAAGUGAAACAAAGUAGUUUUAUAAUAAGCCCAGUCUUUCCUAACCUGCAUGUACAAUUGCCACAGCUACUGGAGAUGUACAUGGUAAAGGCCAUUUAGAUUUCAGACUGGUUGUUUGAGAGCAAAAUUCAAAGCAAGUACAAUUAUGACCCUCAGUUCUGAUGCUGAAGAAAGGCACAUCCAGUUCAACCAAACCUUUGGCUAUACACGUGUCUGUGGCUUCAGCUUUCACCUGCCUCAUAAAGACUCAAGUGUCAGGCAAGAAUCGUCCCGUAAAUGUAGUUCUGGGGUAUCAUUUAUAGAUACCCACCUUGUGUUAGACUGGUUCUUUUUUACAGGGCUGGAGACGAAUCAAGAGGGAGAGUGUGACCUCUUAUGAAACAGGUCCUGCACAUCUCCACUGUUCUGCAUAAACACAAAGAAACCUUAGCUCCUUUUUUAAAAAAACUUUGGUUGGGAUGUAAGUGAAAUGCUCACCCUCAGCAGCUCUCAGCUCAAUAGAAUCCCAGAAAUGAGACUCCUCACCUACAGUGGACAAGAUUUGGGGGUAUGAGGCUUGCAGAUGCUUUGCUCAAAGGUUACAAAAGCAAGCAGAGUGAGGCAGAGGCAGCAGACUGCUGCCUGUAAGGCCUGUUCGGCAGGACACUUUAUCAUCCCUAAAACCUCACAAUGUAACAGAAGGAAAAGGCAGCAAAGUAGUUUCUUCCAGACUGGGGAAUCAAUUGCAUCCUUCCCAGAGGGGCCAGAGUGCUAGGCAUCCCCCCAAAUCCAUAUCCUUGCAAUGGCCCCACCUUUGCAUUAACACUCAUCUUGGCUUGUUUCCUGGGUGAGCAAAGCCUGCACAUUAUAACAAGUGGUUUGCUUGUUCGUCUAUUGGUGCAGUCCCUGUCCUGCCCCCUCUGCUGGCGUGUUCCUCUGUCUCCCCACUGCUAGUAAUCACAAUUCACCCACCAGUCUGCAAAGAGCUGCCCAAAGCUCUGCAGGCAAAAAAUCACUCUGGCAGGCCCUAGGCAGUGUACUAUAUAUCACAGUGACUGGCAUCUUUAACACAUAAAGCCAUACUUGAAACUGUAGCAUCCUGGAAGGAUGUUAUUAGAUGCCAAAAUAGUAGUAACUAUAAAUACUGUGCACCCUGCAUGUGACACAGUGCUCACCUGAGCUUGAGCCCUGGGUUAAGGACACCAAAGAUGAUAGCAAAGAAAAGGGAACAGCAGUCUGUGUUUCAGAUCUCCUCUUGCCUAAUUCUAGAGGGGGUGAGCCUCUAUUUCCACAGAUCAAAGUGUUUGAAAUAACACUUGCUGUCUACAAUGCCCCUGGUGAAUCAGGAAAGCAAUCAGUUGCUUACCUUCUGAAGAGCAUCAAAAGCGUCCAGAGUGUCUGCCCAUAAGGCAAGUGGUCAUAUUCCUCCAAGUUCUUUAGUUUGGCCUGGUAGUGUCCUCUGCAAAUAAAGCCAUGCUGUGUCUCAGGAUUUUGGAAAGUAAUUAAUUUAGGUACUGCUGCAUGUCACAUCUCAACAAAUGCAUUUUGAGCUGCUGCCUUCUCUAAGAAGUUAUUUUCCUACUUCGAAUUAUGUGCAAAUCAUGUUCAUAUGCCUGGUCUUAUAUUUCUGGUAAUAUCAUCCUAGUAUCAGUACUCAGGAAGGUUAGCAGACUAGUCAGGAUGGAAAGUGAAGCCCAUGAGUUAAACUGCAGGCUAUGCUGAGAGCUAGGAAAACUUUUCUGAGGGCUUCAGCUCUGUCUGGGGUCUGUUUUCUUCCCUUGCUUUCUAUGAUAGUUACUCUGUUGGGUUGCUGUCUACCCUACUCCUUAGAAAGGACACCGUUUUUCAGCCUUGCACAAACAGGGAAAGCUUGUUCUUGCCAUGGUAACACCAGUUGUUACUGCACUGCUAAGAGAAUACAGAAAAGAAAUAGAAACCUAAUGAGAAAUUCAAGAAAGAUUUUGGAAUUGUUUUGACCUGCAAGAAAUGCAUGGCCUAAACUGACAGUAGAAAUGCAGCUUUACCCAAGGAACUGCUCCCUUUCAGAAGUGGAUUUGUGGAAUAACAUAUAGCAGUAACAUGUAGCAGAUGCCACUAUUGUGGCCUCUAAUAAUAUCGAGCAUUACAAUUGCUAGCUGCGUACACAGCCUUAACGGGUCAUUGCUGUUGCCGUUUGCAGCAGCAUAGGUCGGCAAAGGAUCCUUCUGGGACACUACAGUUUCAAGUAAUAAUUAGCUUUUAUUUGGGAAGUCAGUUCUGUGCCAAGAGACAAUCCGAAGCCUGUCAUCUGUUUAAAAGCUUUUGCAGAAAAUAUGGUAAAAUUCUGUAAUUUUCUAAUUCUUAUGAAUUUUUCCCCCUCAGUGUUGCACUGCAACCUACCAAUAGUAAUUUUUUCUCCAGGUUAAGGGAGAAACGGCUGGACAUUUGUUGUGUGUGAAAAUCUGGAUUGAUAUGAAUGAGCUGGCAAGGGCUGGCAAGGUUUAGAGGGGGUCAUGAUCAACCACCAAUAGCUGCACAUUCACUGGUAGUAGCUCCUGGCCAACAGAGGAUAGACCUGGGAAACAGAAGAUGGAGAGGUCAAUGCUGACAGCCAAACCUCACCAACACUGGUAGGACAAAAUCUAGAUAUACCCAGGGAACACCUUGCUCUCAGAUGAACCAAGAUGGAUUUGUGGAGAAGUAUUUUAAUGAGAAUAGCAACUAGCUUUUGUGACAAAAGUCAAUGGUAAGUGACUGGAUAAGUAGUAAAUAUUUAUUUAAAAUAAAUUAUGCAUAUUAUAUUAUAUAUAAUAAAUAUUGAUAUUAGGAAAUAACUGUUAUAUUCAAUAAUAUAAAGAUAUUACCUGGAAGCAGGUACGCCUGAUAACAAGGGCUGGCAUAUGACCUUAGCCUAUCUAUUUCAGCUUCAGGCCUCAAAAUUGUUGUUUCAGCGAGUUAAAUAAAGUGCUGCCUUGCUCUGAAAAUCCUGUCUUGAGUUAGAGAGAAAUAUCCACUGUUUCAUAGUUCUCAGGAGGGCUAUGUUUCUAAUCAGCAUUCUAAUGCAUUUGAGCUCCGUGAAAGACUCCUGUGAACCAAUGCUGCUGAAGCCAGAGACCCAGUCUGUGAAUAGCAGAGCUGUCAGGGCUCUACCCAGAAAAGAACUGGAGGCCACCAAGCUGUGAACUAACAUGAUGCACUCUCACAAGGAGGCCCUAAAGGUCAGAGGCAUCCCUUUGCCAGUAGAAGGCUACACGUAAUUUGGGAACUUCAGUAUCCUUGGUGGGACAGAACAUCCCUCAGAUGUGUAUGAGCACUCGACAUCUCAAAGUGCUUUGCAAAAGCGAGGGAGUUAAUUUUUCACAUUGCCCAAAUAUAGAGCUGGUCCAUGAAGAAAUACCCUAUUCAACAUGUCUGUGCAUCAACAACUGAGCUGUGAAAAGGGUCUACAACUUCUUAUCCUCUUGUGUGCAUGCCAGACCGGAUGUUCCCCCCCUCGGCAGCUUGCCAUUUAUCUUUCAAGAAGGAGGUGAUUCCUAUCUGCUCUACUUUACAUAAAUAAGUUAAUGAACUUGACUGCUAAGGUGAUACCUACAGGAUCAUGUUACCUCCAGCCUGAAGACCACUCUCCAGCUCCAAUCUUCUUAUUGCCUUUAUUGCUAGUAGUCUGGCUCAUAUCUAGACUGAGCCCAGUGGUCUGCAGACCAGGGACAUUCAGGCACAAGGUGAGAAACGGCUAAGCCUUGGAUCCUGCCCCAGUGGGCACUGUGGGUCCCACGAGGCUGAGCCAUGUUGUGCCAUGAACAGGAGCCCACUCUCUCUCAGCAGUAAGCCAUAGGUGGAGACACCAUAUGAGGAUUCAGAGAAGACCCAGGGAUAGAACUUGGCUUGCCCACUGAUUUAUGAAAACUUCGCCAUUUUCUGCUUUAAUGCUUGGGAGUAUUUCCCCAGCAAAUUUUAUUUUUUUCUUAUCUCAUGAUUUUAUGUUUGUUUGUUUCAGGCUCCUGAAGCACAGUCCAAAAGGGUUGAGCCUUGUGACUUGUGGCUGACUGAACACUGCUUUGCAAACACAAAUGUGCCACGGCCACAAAUUGGAAACACUGGGCUUCAGUCCCAGGGAGAUCUCCUUUUGCUUUCCUUGCAGGCUGAGUGGCUUUCCUCAUGGAGUCCGUGUCUGUGCACUGCUAUCCAAAGGCCUCUUCUGGAGAGGCAAGUUGACCUUUGAGCUGACACCACAGCUGUCUGCUAACUGCUAGCCUGUCACAGCUGCAACAUCAUCACUGUAGCAUGAACACUGUCCUCCUCCUCCGUGGAAGGGGCAAACGUGAAAUACAGGGAGGAAUUUGCUACUCUGUUUUGGUUGUAACCUCUGGGAGCCAGUGGCAUUCCCAGUGUGUCCCCCAAAAGUCCUGAUCAUCCUUGUCAGACUUCCUCUCAUUGGUAAUUCAGUAUAACAGCAGGUACAUGUUCUCCCAGUCUCUUCCUCCAGUGUUUGUUGAUUCUGUCUUUACCAGUGGGCACCUCCCAUCUCUGGCACUCCUUCUGCCUCACAGAGAGGACUCAGUUGAUGUCCGUGCCAGUCAGAGAGCACAUUCAGCAUCCAGCUCACAGCCCUGGCCCCUGCUCAGCGGCCAGUGGGAUAGUUUGUUGCCUGUCUGUUGUGCUCAGUUCCCUGCACCCUUUCCAUGGCUGGAUUUUAGCUAUUUGAUAUUUGAGCCUAGAUGAUACCAUUUUCAAAGUCUGGAGCCUCCCUCUGCUGAAGGCCUGUCUCCAGCCUUCCUCUUGCCUCUGUCUCCCACCUUUCUAAAGAAAAGAAUCCAGGUAGAUUUUUUAAAUCAGCUGGCUAUGGAGGCAAAGGGCUAGUCUGGGGGAAGGAGUCCAUCUUCCUUCUGAGAUCUUCUCUGCCGCACUGCUCUCAUGGUGACCUCUUAGGUUGGUCCCCCUGCUCAGAAAAGUCUGUGGACCUUCCUGGGAGAACUGCAGUGUCAUGAAGUUACCCUUGAGAGUGUCGUCCAUAUCACAGUCCAUGCCCCUGGUUGACUGGAAUCUGCUUUAAGGCUUUUACUUUCUGGGGGCAUAGGAGACUGAGAAGAUAAGACAGGAAGAUCAGGAACCAGCAGUUUCAGGCUGUCCCAUCUCCUGAAUUUAUCUAUCUUUCUAUAAGAAAUAUCUGUCUUGGAAGCCAUUUUUGUCUCAUUUUCCACUCCUAAAUAAGCCAGCAAUGACUUCCAUCCUCUUAACCAGUGAUAUGGUUAAGAUAACCAGAAUAUAAACUUGUUUGUGUUUCUCAGUCUACCUACAUUGUGCAUGACUUGUUGAUGCUGUAUACAGAAACCUAUGUGCAUUCCCUGACUACCAGUUAUUUUGUAGUGGCAGCAAUGGCAAAUGAUUGAACUUGAGCUGAUUACUUCAAAAAUAUGUUCCACCCCCUGAGGACAUUAAUACCUUGACAAAUCAACCAUGGUAAAAAUGUAUCUUGUGCACUUUGACUUCACGAGACCACAGUCAUGUCACUGGUCUUGGAACAGAUGGUGAGCCUCAUAUAUAUGUGUGUAUAUAUAUAUAUGUAGGUAGGUAGCUAGGUAGGUAUUUGCUCAAUAUAAACAAAUUGCUGUUAUUCUUUUCCUAACAGUUCAAUCAGCCUAUUUUUCAGAUGUCCUCUGGGAUCUGUAAGUUUUGCUGCUUGGACCGAUCUGUUUGAUGGAUAUUCCCUAGAAUGGGGGAAUAUAAAUCAUCAGUCCAUAAAUGAAAUGCUUCAGGUAGCCCAGAAGUCUUCUGCUGUAACACCCACCUUGACAGGUGCAGUUUUCACACCAAGAAUCAUUUUCAUGCAAUCUGGGAUCUGAGCUAAACAAAGCUGAGAGAAGAACUUUGGCCAGACCGUGUCUUGAGAAAAGGCUUAGGAAAUGGACUUUGUUAUCUGAUUACAUUUGUUGUUAAUAAAAACUUGAUUAUACAGCUAUAAA
Long non-coding RNA from Dromaius novaehollandiae (emu), 7133 nucleotides. RefSeq lists it as uncharacterized. The transcript has 4 exons. The record is from RefSeq and is a predicted model, not a curated record. Lineage: Eukaryota; Metazoa; Chordata; Aves; Casuariiformes; Dromaiidae.